UGAAGGGAAGUAAUUCACCUCCUCGUCUCUAUGCAUGAAGUUCAUGAAUCCUUCAUGGUGGUUAUUAUGGUGAGGACAUUUAGGAGCAUUCACUGGGAGCUGAAGAUAGUUAGGUCCAAGGCGAUGCCUCUGUGUAUCCGCAUAAGCAAAACUCCUAGCUUGCAACAUCUUAUCAUCCGAGUAAUGAAUCCCAGGCACCAACGACAUGGAGAACGCCAACAUCUCAUUCUCCGCAAAGAAGUUAUCGAUGUUCUUAUUCAAUACCAAGCGACCAACUGGCUGUAAUGGCAAGAUGUCCUCAGGCCAGAUCUUGGUUACAUCUAGGGGGUCAAAGUCAAAUCUGUCUUCAUGAUCAGGAUCAAUAGUUUGGAUGAACAGUUUCCACUCUGGAUAGUUCCCAGCAGCAAUUGAAUCAUAGAGAUCCUUGGUGGCAUGACUAUGAUUUGAUCCACCGACCUUAAUAGCUUCUUCAUCCAACAAGCAUUUGACUCCACAAGUUGGCUUCCAAUGGAAUUUCACAUACUGUGCUUUCCCAGCUUUGUUGAUCAGCAUGUAGGUAUUAACACCGAAACCAUCCAUGUGCCUGUAAUCUUGUGGA
This 598-nucleotide unclassified non-coding RNA is filed under the name Hevea brasiliensis (rubber tree). Lineage: Eukaryota; Viridiplantae; Streptophyta; Magnoliopsida; Malpighiales; Euphorbiaceae. The record is from RNAcentral.